UAGGGAAUCUUCCGCAAUGGGCGAAAGCCUGACGGAGCAACGCCGCGUGAGUGAUGAAGGUCUUCGGAUCGUAAAACUCUGUUAUUAGGGAAGAACAAAUUUGUAAGUAACUAUGCACGUCUUGACGGUACCUAAUCAGAAAGCCACGGCUAACUACGUGCCAGCAGCCGCGGUAAUACGUAGGUGGCAAGCGUUAUCCGGAAUUAUUGGGCGUAAAGCGCGCGUAGGCGGUUUUUUAAGUCUGAUGUGAAAGCCCACGGCUCAACCGUGGAGGGUCAUUGGAAACUGGAAAACUUGAGUGCAGAAGAGUAAAGUGGAAUUCCAUGUGUAGCGGUGAAAUGCGCAGAGAUAUGGAGGAACACCAGUGGCGAAGGCGACUUUCUGGUCUGUAACUGACGCUGAUGUGCGAAAGCGUGGGGAUCAAACAGG
RNAcentral lists this ribosomal RNA (429 nucleotides) under Actinomycetes bacterium. RNAcentral's name for it is "Actinobacteria bacterium partial 16S ribosomal RNA". It matches the Rfam family "Bacterial small subunit ribosomal RNA", at positions 355 to 776 of the family's 1533-position model. The record is from RNAcentral. Lineage: Bacteria; Bacillati; Actinomycetota; Actinomycetes.